Molecule: ribosomal RNA, 271 nt
Filed under: uncultured prokaryote
Description: partial 16S ribosomal RNA
Rfam family: Bacterial small subunit ribosomal RNA
Source: RNAcentral
UACGUAGGUGGCAAGCGUUGUCCGGAUUUACUGGGUGUAAAGGGAGCGUAGGCGGGACGGCAAGUUGGAUGUGAAAAACUGAGGCUCAACCUCAGUCCUGCAUCCAAAACUGUUGUUCUUGAGUGGAGCAGAGGUAAGCGGAAUUCCGAGUGUAGCGGUGAAAUGCGUAGAUAUUCGGAGGAACACCAGUGGCGAAGGCGGCUUACUGGACUCUAACUGACGCUGAGGCGCGAAAGCGUGGGGAGCAAACAGGAUUAGAUACCCCUGUAGU